AUGAUUUCAUUGUGGAUUCGUAUACGUCGUUUGACAACGGCAAGGACAUGUGGGCUGCGCUCGAGGCCAAGUUUGGUGCCUUGGACGCUGGCAGCGAGUUGUACGUCAUGGAGCAUCUAUGACUACAAGAUGACUGAUGAGCACUCUGUUGUACAGCAGGCUCAUGAGAUACAGUCGCUCGCAAAAGAACUUGAGUACUUCAAGUGUGUGUUGCCGGGCAAAUUUGUUGUCGGAGGCAUCAUUGCCAAGCUUCCACCUUCAUGGAACAAUUUUGCUACUUCCCUGAAACACAAGAGACGGGAGUUUUCCGUUUCGCAUCUCAUUGGUACUCUUGAUGUUGAAGAGAAGGCGAGAGCAAAAGACACACGUGCUCGAGUUGCUGAGGGAGCUUCUAGUGCCCACAUGGUACAGAAGAAGAGCUUCUAG
Molecule: ribosomal RNA, 426 nt
Filed under: Triticum aestivum (bread wheat)
Lineage: Eukaryota; Viridiplantae; Streptophyta; Magnoliopsida; Poales; Poaceae
Description: partial small subunit ribosomal RNA
Source: RNAcentral